UCUCUCUCUCUCUCUCUCUCAUCUUGUGGUUAGUGGAAUGAAAAAAUAGGCAAUGAAAGUGGGGUGGGGCCACGGCUUGCUUUUGUCAACGACUUUGUUGUUUCCCUUCCAAGUCUCUUCACUUUAUUAAAAUCGGUUAUUUACUUAGUUUACUUCCCUUUUUUUUCAGUUCUUUCUUUGCAAAAGCUCACAAAUAUAGAUUAAAUUGCUAUUAUACUGAAUCAGGUUUUCUGCUACUUCCCCUUUUAUUCUUGGUUUGUUAAACUGAUAUUUGUUGUUUAAUGCUAUUUCCCAACAAAUCAAUACCUUAUAUGUUUUUCACUAAAUUUUGUGGUCAGUCAGGUAUCUUGAGCAAUAUAGUUAAUGCAUUGCAAUAUUGGAAGUCCCGCAAGUAUCUUCAACCAAAUCGGUGGCUGCAAAGUUGGUUGAGAAGAGAAAUUCAGGCUCUUUGGCAGGUCCGUCUGUUAAUAUGAGAUUUUUCUAUGCUUUGCCCUUGUACUUAUUACAAACUUGGACAUCCCACUGAAAUUUGGUGCUCUAUCAUAUGAUACUAUAUAAUUCAAAUUAUAUACUCUAUGCAUUAGAGCAGAUAAAUGCCAUUAAUAAUGUUGCAUUGCUGGUAGAUUGGAGAUCUUACUAAAAUUAAUAACUUGUAUAACUAAGCUUGGCAUUAGUGGAUGGCUGCAUAACCGUGUGAAAAACUGUUCAAACCAUAUAGUCUUUAGUCAUAUGGAGCUGCACGUAGCAUCAACUAAUGUCUUUUCCUACUUUACUCCAUUGAAUUCAGAUCAAUUUUCUUUUUCCUUUUUUUUUUAAUGUCAGAGUUUGAAAGGCAUUAUUCCCUGCCUACUCUUUUGUGUGCUAUUUUGGCACUAGUUCAAACUUUGUGGAUGUGGAUAAAUAUUUAAAGUUUUGGUUUUGUGUGUUUUUAUCAGAAUAUGAGAAGAAGGAAAAAUUGCUCUCUCCUUAUCUCCCUUUACAUACAUAUAAAAUAAAACAGAAAUUAGAAGAGAGAAAGUGAGAAGAAUAAGAGGGGCGGGGGGAGAUUAAAGAAAUGGGGAAAUAAAUUGUACUGAUGCUAAAUUUUUCUUGGUGGGUAAUGUUGGUAAAUGCUUUAAAGUGAAUCUGUUUGUAGGCCAUUACCACGAAAUUGUGUGGUUUGUUUGCUGGUAUAGAUGAGAUAUUCUCUUCUCUAUGGAUGCAGUUUCCAUUUUCAUUUUUGGAGAAUAUUGUUGAAAAUGCUGAAUUUUUCCAUGAACGUGGAUGCCAAAUUGGAAAAACUUCUGAAAACUGUUUUUCAAGAUUUUCUGCAAAAUUCGUUUCUAUCUUUUCCAGAGAAAUGAGUCCAUGACUAUGUAUUGGUUAUCAAAGAUUUCUUGCCGCAUUCACAAUAACUGAAAUAUAAAAACUAUUCAAUAUGUUUUGCUUUUAUAAACAUUGCUACUAGUCUUUUAUCUGAAAUGAGUCUUCUAAAGAUGGCAAAGGUGGAGCUGUUAAGUGAAUUUUCACUCAUCACGUCACAGUUUAUGUGUUCAACAAAAAUAUAAGAUGCUAGGGAUGACUAUAAGAAAACUGUGGUGUGUUUGGAAAGAGCUAGUUUGCUGAUGAUGCUGUUGUAAAUUAGUUGCCUACAGAAUGAUAGCUCAA
This 1647-nucleotide unclassified non-coding RNA is filed under the name Hevea brasiliensis (rubber tree). The record is from RNAcentral. Lineage: Eukaryota; Viridiplantae; Streptophyta; Magnoliopsida; Malpighiales; Euphorbiaceae.